Molecule: long non-coding RNA, 314 nt
Filed under: Zostera marina
Lineage: Eukaryota; Viridiplantae; Streptophyta; Magnoliopsida; Alismatales; Zosteraceae
Description: long non-coding RNA (ZMAR_LNC001845)
Source: RNAcentral
UCUGCUUACAGUUAUUAUACUAAAUUAAUACUAGAAUAUUAACCUUCGUUAUAUCGUUCGAAUCCAUCAUCUUCUGGAUCAUCCCGCUGUUUAGGAAAAAAUGAUAUUCAUAAAAUCAUAAUAUUAUUUUACAUCUUGUCUGUUCAAAAAAUUUUACCUUCAGGCACGCAAUUCUCGUAGGGUCUUUUUCUUUUGAAAUCUUAUAAGGUAGGUUGAUAUAGUUGCUUAUCCUCCUAUUAUUCAAAAAUAUGAAAAUAUUACAAGCAUUUACCUUGCGUACACAUACACGAAUGAAAUCAUUAACAAAAUGUAAU